Long non-coding RNA from Drosophila yakuba, 2228 nucleotides. RefSeq lists it as uncharacterized. The record is from RefSeq and is a predicted model, not a curated record. The transcript is spliced from 2 exons. NCBI's taxonomy places the organism in Eukaryota, Metazoa, Arthropoda, Insecta, Diptera, Drosophilidae.
GGAAUGACUGCAAAGAAAGUGGGUAAGACAGAAAACAAAACACUGGAUGAGCAUUGUAUUCAUUUGACUAAGGCAGAGACUUAGACUUGGAUUGGGUUUGGAAUUGGGAUUUACUCGGAAAGAGCUGGCAAGAGUCCAUCAAACGUAAUUUGCUGGCUGUUUUGGACAAUCCUUCAACUCAAGAAGAAGAGCCCAAGAAAGAGGCAUGAAAUGGUUGGUGGUGUUGGUGGGAGAGAGUAAGGGGGUUAAUCUGGGCUUAUCUGUGAUUAGUGUCGCUCCUUCCUUGCCUUCCAUCUAUCUGUCUACGUAUGUAUCCCAGUUGUCCCUCGGCAUUUUGCCACCUUCCACUUGUUUAUUAUUAUUUUGCACAUUGUUUUUGGCAACUUUCCCUGCCAAGCGUAGUUCUGGUCUCUCCACUUCGCACUCUGUCUGCUUAGUGUUUCUGCCUUUUUCUUUUCCACUUUCUUUGAGGAGGGGGGUGGCACGUUCUAUAAGCAAGUUUCUUUAAGCCGAUUUCGUCUUUUGCAAAGACUUGUUAAUGAAAAUGAAAAGUGCUUUAACACACACCAUCGCAGAAACGAGAAGAGAAUGGGCGUGAGCCGAAUAAAAGUAGGGGGCUUUGGGAAAGAACUGACAAGGACAAUGCGAACAGGAAGAACGAGUCAAAGCAGUUUGCAUAAUUUAAAGACUUUUCCCACUGCCUGCCUCCCCAUUGUGUCUAUCCUUUUCCCGCUCAACAAGUUCAUUAGCGACGACUUUAAGCCGGCACAGAAAACUAAACUAUAACGAAGGGACAAGGGAAACAAAGAGUGUGCACUGAGCAAAAACUGUGGCAUUCUGAAUGCACAAGAAAUUAAACUAUUGAGAGCGAAAACCAAUUCAUUACUACCAAGAAAAGUUCUUCAGUUUGAAUCUUUUUCAAUUUAAGUAUGUGCAAAACUCAUUGGCUCUUUCGGGGUAAUUAAAAUCCGAGCUGGUGUUGAAAUGGCAACGCCCAAUUUCUUUAACUGCAUAAUGACAGUGAGAUAUUUUCCGAAGGAAGUUCCAAGUGGCUGGCAGGCCACACUGUUGCGGUUAGGAUGGGCUUAAGUGGUAAUAACUGUCACUGGCCAAGCUGGCCAACUACGUCGGGCUAAUGCAUUUUAUGGUCCUCCAUCUCGGUGACCCCCGGUCCGAUCCAUCGUGGAGCGAAUGUCCCGAAAACGAGAGGAAAAACCAAAGCAAGCCCAUCCCAGUCGUAACUGCAGCUUAACGUAACGACUUUUGAGUGCCUGUGCCACAUUAUGUUGCAGCUGCAGUUGAAUUGCAAGGAUUGCGUCUGUGUGCGUGAGUGUGCGGGUGUGUGGGUGAGGCCUGUCAUUGUCUAUUGCACAAAGUUGAACCAGUUCUCGUUAGCAGUUCUCAAAUUGAUUCUACCAUCCUUUCAAGGCAAAUAAAUUGCAUUGGCCUGAGAGCUUAUUUGUUUCGUCCUAUUUCUAAAUCCCCUUCGAGUGUAAUUUAGUUAUAUCUGGAAGUUUGAAAAACUCAGUAGUUGGACUUUUACUUUUCAUCCAAAAUAAAAGUCAUGGUAUUUUACCAAGAUUAUUAUGAAAUAAAAAUGUGCCUCGUCAUUAAGUUUAUUGCGGAUAUGACUUCAAUUCUUGUCUUUUCUUGGUUUUCCCGUUGAUUUAAUUUCGGUUGUCUAACCUGCGUUGAUUGUGUGGAAAAUAAGAGGUCUGGCUGGGUCGAGGGUCUCUGAUUAAGAUAUUAGAGAUAACUUUUUUAUGGCCCGGCUAAAUGUGAUGUAAUAUAAUGAGAAAAUUAUUGGCAGCGUCAACUUCAACCUGUGCCGCCAUCCCAUCUCUGGUAGCAGCCGACAUUGCAUCAACUUUUCAAUUUACCCCCGUCGCAGGAGGCAAACAAAGAACACGCUUAAAAAAGACACAAAAUCUUUUCGCGGCAGCGAGGAAAGUCGGGCGGGAAAUAUGAAAUCUCAGGAAGUGUCAGCAGAAGGAAAACGGAGGGGGCCAAAAUAUUUUAAGCACGCUAUAAACAUGUAAAUGAGCAUGGAAAUUGAAAUUGUUAUCUAAUUUUUUAUAUCAGCGCUCGCGCAGAAGCUGCGCCCGACUCCUUUGCACAAGACACUACACUGAGCGAAAUGGCAGGACUUCGAAUCGAAUCGAGUACUGAUUCUACUGCAGGGCUAUACACUUUAGAAUAAAACUUUAUAAGCGACUAAAAACCAAUUA